UUAAGUUAUUAAGGGCGCACGGUGGAUGCCUUGGCACUAGAAGCCGAUGAAGGACGUUACUAACGACGAUAUGCUUUGGGGAGCUGUAAGUAAGCUUUGAUCCAGAGAUUUCCGAAUGGGGAAACCCAGCAUGAGUUAUGUCAUGUUAUCGAUAUGUGAAUACAUAGCAUAUCAGAAGGCACACCCGGAGAACUGAAACAUCUUAGUACCCGGAGGAAGAGAAAGAAAAUUCGAUUCCCUUAGUAGCGGCGAGCGAAACGGGAAGAGCCCAAACCAACAAGCUUGCUUGUUGGGGUUGUAGGACACUCUAUACGGAGUUACAAAGGACGACAUUAGACGAAUCAUCUGGAAAGAUGAAUCAAAGAAGGUAAUAAUCCUGUAGUCGAAAAUGUUGUCUCUCUUGAGUGGAUCCUGAGUACGACGGAGCACGUGAAAUUCCGUCGGAAUCUGGGAGGACCAUCUCCUAAGGCUAAAUACUCUCUAGUGACCGAUAGUGAACCAGUACCGUGAGGGAAAGGUGAAAAGCACCCCGGAAGGGGAGUGAAAUAGAACCUGAAACCGUGUGCUUACAAGUAGUCAGAGCCCGUUAAUGGGUGAUGGCGUGCCUUUUGUAGAAUGAACCGGCGAGUUACGAUUUGAUGCAAGGUUAAGCAGUAAAUGUGGAGCCGUAGCGAAAGCGAGUCUGAAUAGGGCGUUUAGUAUUUGGUCGUAGACCCGAAACCAGGUGAUCUACCCUUGGUCAGGUUGAAGUUCAGGUAACACUGAAUGGAGGACCGAACCGACUUACGUUGAAAAGUGAGCGGAUGAACUGAGGGUAGCGGAGAAAUUUCAAUCGAACCUGGAGAUAGCUGGUUCUCUCCGAAAUAGCUUUGGGGCUAGCCUCAAGUGAUGAUUAUUGGAGGUAGAGCACUGUUUGGACGAGGGGCCCCUCUCGGGUUACCGAAUUCAGACAAACUCCGAAUGCCAAUUAAUUUAACUUGGGAGUCAGAACAUGGGUGAUAAGGUCCGUGUUCGAAAGGGAAACAGCCCAGACCACCAGCUAAGGUCCCAAAAUAUAUGUUAAGUGGAAAAGGAUGUGGCGUUGCCCAGACAACUAGGAUGUUGGCUUAGAAGCAGCCAUCAUUUAAAGAGUGCGUAAUAGCUCACUAGUCGAGUGACACUGCGCCGAAAAUGUACCGGGGCUAAACAUAUUACCGAAGCUGUGGAUUGUCCUUUGGACAAUGGUAGGAGAGCGUUCUAAGGGCGUUGAAGCAUGAUCGUAAGGACAUGUGGAGCGCUUAGAAGUGAGAAUGCCGGUGUGAGUAGCGAAAGACGGGUGAGAAUCCCGUCCACCGAUUGACUAAGGUUUCCAGAGGAAGGCUCGUCCGCUCUGGGUUAGUCGGGUCCUAAACAGAGGCCGACAGGCGUAGGCGAUGGAUAACAGGUUGAUAUUCCUGUACCACCUAUAAUCGUUUUAAUCGAUGGGGGGACGCAGUAGGAUAGGCGAAGCGUGCGAUUGGAUUGCACGUCUAAGCAGUAAGGCUGAGUAUUAGGCAAAUCCGGUACUCGUUAAGGCUGAGCUGUGAUGGGGAGAAGACAUUGUGUCUUCGAGUCGUUGAUUUCACACUGCCGAGAAAAGCCUCUAGAUAGAAAAUAGGUGCCCGUACCGCAAACCGACACAGGUAGUCAAGAUGAGAAUUCUAAGGUGAGCGAGCGAACUCUCGUUAAGGAACUCGGCAAAAUGACCCCGUAACUUCGGGAGAAGGGGUGCUCUUUAGGGUUAACGCCCAGAAGAGCCGCAGUGAAUAGGCCCAAGCGACUGUUUAUCAAAAACACAGGUCUCUGCUAAACCGUAAGGUGAUGUAUAGGGGCUGACGCCUGCCCGGUGCUGGAAGGUUAAGAGGAGUGGUUAGCUUCUGCGAAGCUACGAAUCGAAGCCCCAGUAAACGGCGGCCGUAACUAUAACGGUCCUAAGGUAGCGAAAUUCCUUGUCGGGUAAGUUCCGACCCGCACGCAAGGCGUAACGAUUUGGGCACUGUCUCAACGAGAGACUCGGUGAAAUCAUAGUACCUGUGAAGAUGCAGGUUACCCGCGACAGGACGGAAAGACCCCGUGGAGCUUUACUGUAGCCUGAUAUUGAAAUUCGGCACAGCUUGUACAGGAUAGGUAGGAGCCUUUGAAACGUGAGCGCUAGCUUACGUGGAGGCGCUGGUGGGAUACUACCCUAGCUGUGUUGGCUUUCUAACCCGCACCACUUAUCGUGGUGGGAGACAGUGUCAGGCGGGCAGUUUGACUGGGGCGGUCGCCUCCUAAAAGGUAACGGAGGCGCUCAAAGGUUCCCUCAGAAUGGUUGGAAAUCAUUCAUAGAGUGUAAAGGCAUAAGGGAGCUUGACUGCGAGACCUACAAGUCGAGCAGGGUCGAAAGACGGACUUAGUGAUCCGGUGGUUCCGCAUGGAAGGGCCAUCGCUCAACGGAUAAAAGCUACCCCGGGGAUAACAGGCUUAUCUCCCCCAAGAGUUCACAUCGACGGGGAGGUUUGGCACCUCGAUGUCGGCUCAUCGCAUCCUGGGGCUGUAGUCGGUCCCCAGGGUGGGGCUGUUCGCCCAUUAAAGCGGUACGCGAGCUGGGUUCAGAACGUCGUGAGACAGUUCGGUCCCUAUCCGUCGUGGGCGUAGGAAAUUUGAGAGGAGCUGUCCUUAGUACGAGAGGACCGGGAUGGACAUACCUCUGGUGUACCAGUUGUCGUGCCAACGGCAUAGCUGGGUAGCUAUGUGUGGACGGGAUAAGUGCUGAAAGCAUCUAAGCAUGAAGCCCCCCUCAAGAUGAGAUUUCCCAACUUCGGUUAUAAGAUCCCUCAAAGAUGAUGAGGUUAAUAGGUUCGAGGUGGAAGCAUGGUGACAUGUGGAGCUGACGAAUACUAAUCGAUCGAAGACUUAAUCAA
RNAcentral lists this ribosomal RNA (2921 nucleotides) under Staphylococcus aureus. RNAcentral describes it as "23S ribosomal RNA". It matches the Rfam family "Bacterial large subunit ribosomal RNA". Lineage: Bacteria; Bacillati; Bacillota; Bacilli; Caryophanales; Staphylococcaceae. The record is from RNAcentral.